Molecule: ribosomal RNA, 449 nt
Filed under: uncultured bacterium
Lineage: Bacteria
Description: partial 16S ribosomal RNA
Rfam family: Bacterial small subunit ribosomal RNA
Source: RNAcentral
AGCGAACGCUGGCGGCAGGCCUAACACAUGCAAGUCGAACGAAGUCUUCGGACUUAGUGGCGGACGGGUGAGUAACACGUGGGAACGUACCUUUUGGUUCGGAAUAACUGAGGGAAACUUCAGCUAAUACCGGAUAAGCUCUUCGGAGGAAAGAUUUAUCGCCAUUAGAGCGGCCCGCGUUGGAUUGGGUAGUUGGUGUGGUAAAGGCGCACCAAGCCUACGAUCCAUAGCUGGUCUGGGAGGAUGAUCAGCCACACUGGGACUGAGACACGGCCCAGUGUCCUACGGGAGGCAGCAGUGGGGAAUCUUGCGCAAUGGUCGAAAGACUGACGCAGCCAUGCCGCGUGAAUGAUGAAGGUCUUAGGAUUGUAAAAUUCUUUUAGCAGGGACGAUAAUGACGGUACCUGCAGAAAAAGCCCCGGCUAACUUCGUGCCAGCCGCCGCCGUAA